This is a long non-coding RNA of Aphidius gifuensis, 511 nucleotides long. RefSeq lists it as uncharacterized. The record is from RefSeq and is a predicted model, not a curated record. The transcript has 3 exons. Lineage: Eukaryota; Metazoa; Arthropoda; Insecta; Hymenoptera; Braconidae.
GUGAAUGCAGGUGCUCCAUGCUGGUUUGAGGUUUCACUCUCUCUAAAUUUCUUAUUUCAUUUGUGUCUUGUAACUUGAUUUCAUUCUGCUGACUGCUUGUGACUGCUGCUGACCACUGCUGACUGUUGUCAUUCUGAUUGAUAACUCUGACCAACUCUGACUGUUAUACUUAUCUAUAACAAUUAACAAACUUAUAACAAAUCUAAGUACAACUCUGACUGACAAUGAACAGAAAUUCUCUUCCACGAAAAUCUUAUUUACCUCAUGUCGUCAUCAUCGGGAUAAUUGGGGGGUGCUCUCUAGUAAGCUGGUACUUGGAUCAUGUAGAAAAGAGAGGACAAGCCAGAUUGGAAGAAAGGUACAGAAUGGAACGUGAAAAAGAAAACAAGUAAUUAUCUUGGAAAAAAAGAUACCUGAUCAUUAAUAAGUUAUGUAAUUUCCUAAUUCAAUAAAAAUAUGAAAACAAUUGACUAAUUAAAAAUGAAAAAAAAAUAAAGUUUUAUUCAUUGAA